AGAGAGGCCACAUGAUGUGGCCUAAGGUGGAUACAGGGGCAGCUGUGGCACAGGAGGAGAGAAGAGAUAAGGAGACAUUUCUCUGGAUGGGCAACUGUAGGGCCAAGAGAAUGCUCUUCAUAGAUGACUUCAACUAUAAAGACUGAAAAUUGACCAAAGGCCUUAGCUGCUGCUUUCUGGAAUCCAUCAGCUCACAGUUUAAGGCCAGCUUCCCACGGGGCUCCUCUCAUCCAAUGACCAUACUCAGCAGAGAUCCUGAGCCACCAGGAAUGAAUUCUGAGCUCACGUUCUGGACCGCUGCCAGGAAGAAGGAAGCGGCGUUAGUAUAAAGAAUCACACAAAAGGCCGCAGGCAGUUGCCACCUCAUUCUACAUACACACCGGAAGCUACUUCUUUGAGAGGCCCCAAGUUCAAAGGAAAAGCUCUCUUUCCUUUGGGGAGCCUUCUGGGGACAGUUCCCCCACCUGACCCAGGACACUAGAGGAAGAGGAAGACAGCAACAGAUGUGAGGAGGAGAAGGACCCCUCCCUGCCCAGUGCUCAGGUGCCUCUGCUCCCUAACCAAUUGAUGUUUCUG
Hyaena hyaena (striped hyena) is the source of this 576-nucleotide long non-coding RNA. RefSeq lists it as uncharacterized. Lineage: Eukaryota; Metazoa; Chordata; Mammalia; Carnivora; Hyaenidae. The transcript has 4 exons. The record is from RefSeq and is a predicted model, not a curated record.